CCUACGGGCGGCAGCAGUGGGGGAUAUUGCACAAUGGGGGGAACCCUGAUGCAGCGACGCCGCGUGGGUGAAGAAGCGCCUCGGCGCGUAAAGCCCUGUCAGCAGGGAAGAAAAUGACGGUACCUGAAGAAGAAGCCCCGGCUAACUACGUGCCAGAAGCCGCGGUACUACGUAGGGGGCAAGCGUUAUCCGGAUUUACUGGGUGUAAAGGGGGCGCAGACGGGGAUGCAAGCCAGGAGUGAAAGCACGGGGCCCAACCCCGGGAAUGCACUUGGAACUGGGUGGCUGGAGUGCAGGAGGGGCAGGCGGAAUUCGUGGUGUAGCGGUGAAAUGCGUAGAUAUCAGGAGGAACACCGGUGGCGAAGGCGGCCUGCUGGACUGCAACUGACGUUGAGGCCCGAAAGCGUGGGGAGCAAACAGGAUUAGAUACCCGAGUAGUC
Molecule: ribosomal RNA, 440 nt
Filed under: uncultured bacterium
Lineage: Bacteria
Description: partial 16S ribosomal RNA
Rfam family: Bacterial small subunit ribosomal RNA
Source: RNAcentral